Molecule: long non-coding RNA, 6712 nt
Filed under: Lynx pardinus (Iberian lynx)
Lineage: Eukaryota; Metazoa; Chordata; Mammalia; Carnivora; Felidae
Source: RNAcentral
CAGGACACAUGGGUAUUAAGGGGGCCAGCAGGAAUCGGCCACGGUCCUUGUGGGUGGCCGGAUGACACAGCUGCCCUCCGGACUCCGGGAUCUGCUGUCACCGGUGAGACUGUCAUGUCCUGGCGAUAAUCGUGGCAUUGGCCGCGGCAAAUGGAAGAAGUAAGGCAAGCGUACCAGCCGGGAGGGAGAAGCAAACACCACGGUAUGUACCCCAAAUGCAGCGGGAGUCCGGCCCAUGUCCCUUUCCCCUCUGAAAGGGUAAAAGUCCAUACACGAAUGCCUACUUUCUCUGGGUAAGCCCCUGGUAUGCUGAAUCCUAAUAUAAAAGGAUAAGACUCCAUUUUAUUUCCUUUUAAGUUUUUUUUAUUUAUUCUGAGACAGAGAGAGAGAGAGAGAGACAGAAAAAGAGACAGAGAGCAGGGGAGGGGCGGGGAGGGGGGAGACAGAGAGAAUCCCAGGCAGGUUCCGUACCGUCAGUGCAGAGCCUUACUUGGGGCUCCAACUCGGAAGCCGUGAGAUCAUGACCUGAGCAGAGACCAAGGGUCUGACACUCAGUUGACUGAGCCACCCAGUUGCCUCCUUUUCUUUCUUUAAAGAAGACCUCACUUAAAAAAAAAAAAAAAGUGUUGAUUUAUUUACUUUUGAGAGGUGGCAGGGGUGAAGAGAGAGAGUGAGAGAGAGCAGGAGCAGGAUAGAGGCAGAGGGAGAGAGGCAGAGAAUCCCAAGGAGGCUCCAUGCUCAGUGCAGAGCCUGAUGUGGACCUUGACCUCACGAAUUGUGAGGUCACGACCUGAGGGGAAAUCAAGAAUCAGACACUUACCCGACUGAGCCACCCAGGCGCCCCAAGAAGACCCCACUUUAAAGACACAAAUAUUAGGGAUGCCUGAGUGGCUCAGUUGGUUAAGGGUCCAACUGGCUCAGGUCAUGAUCUCACGGUCUGCGGGUUCGAGUCCCACGUCAGGCUCUGUGCCAACAGCUCGGAGCCUGGAGCCCGCUUCAGAUUCUGCGUCUCCCUCUCUCUCUGCUCCUCUCCUGCUCAUGUUCUCUCUCUCUCUCUCAAAAAUAAAUAUUUUAAAAAAUUGAUAAAUAAAUAAAAAACAUAAAGACAUGAAUAUUGGGCAAAUUUUAGGUCAUUUAUGAAAGCUUGUCCUUCCCAGGACUGUCGUAAGGAAAAGUGUCAACUGCGAAGGAGUAGAUGAUCUCACAAACCCAACACAGCGCGAGAUCCCGCCUACUACCCAUCAGCACGUUGUCCUUCCUGACACAUGAUACAACUGAGCUAUGAUUUACCCAUUGCCUGUUUUUACUUUUGUUUACACAUACUUGAAAACGACUUUUACCUACAUAUCAGACGGAUGCAUAUCUAAAGAGCAAAGUUUCAUUUUAAUGAACGAAGAGUAAAAUAGUUGAGGUGUAUUGACAUUCCGACUUAUGAACAGAAAUCUGAAAAGACAACUUGACGGUAGCUCACAGCGCACAAGAUUAAAUAGUGCUCUCUUUGCAGUCACGAGUACUGAGAAUCUAUGGUCGCUUUGCUCAAGUGAGGUAUCUGUAAACAGUUAACUAGGAUCAUCUGCUCAUUCCUGCUUGCCUCCACUAUCUUUUCUCUCUACUUUUUGGUUCCAAAGCAAACAAUUCAUUUCCACUAUAAUACAAUCUGAAGAGAUGAAUUAGCAAUCGGGAUUAGGAAUCAUACAUUUUAAUAGAAGCGAAGCAAAGACUGUUUUCAUAGUCAAUAACCACAAGAAAAUGGCAUUCUUGUUUGGCCAACUCUUAGCACCUGGUCAGUUCCUCUUGCUGGGGUUUGAUUCCUCCAUAAAAAUCUCCAGAUUGUACUAAUCCUUCCUGUUUCUGCACUAAAAUAAAAAUUUGUACUGGGACAAUAUUCACGUUCAAAUAGAUGGAGGCACAAAUGAUGAAGAAUUACCUGCAUUUCGAUACACUUGGACCAUGAAGGAAAAGGCAGGAGUAGAGAGAAGAAAGAGUAGGAGAGAGACUGGGUGGCAGGUGGCGGGGUGGGCAGCGUCUUCCGGCCCCAGGCCAGGCUGGCCACCCAAACGACCACAGUGUAUAAGCGGCCCCAGGACUACGGGAGCCCAGCCAGGGAGGGCUCAGCCAAUGAAUCCCCUUUUCUGAUAGACCGCUGAGACCCUCAACUAGAAAGACACCCCUCCUCCCACUUCGCGGUGGCUGAACUUCAUGCCCCACCUGCCUGUGUACCUGCAGCCAGAGUCCUAAAAGAACAAAAAUUCGUGAAGAACAUGAAGUUAUAACGUGUAUAGCAUCCCUGAACCUCUGGGGUAAAACUCAUGCCGUCUCUCUGUGUUUCCAUUGUUUCUAACACCCCGAUUCUCCAGAUCCUGGGGCAUUUGCAACAGGACUGGGAUGUGAAUGGGCCACCGGGUGGCUGAUAGACGCAAGCACCCCAUUUAUCAACCGGGUGAGUCUUGGGGAUUUUCACAGUCAAGGUGGGUUUAGUGUUUUCUACCACUGGUCCUAAGCCAUGCUACAGUGGGACAGCAGCAGAUACCCAUGAAGUUGUGUCUGCUCUGAGGUCUUUGUAUGCAGCCAAUAAUUAAAACAAAACUAAAUACGAGGAAAAUAUUUGUUGGAUGAAGUGAGAAUUCAGAUAGGACCAAAAAUGGUCAUUGUUACCAAUGCAUUUCCUUUUAUAAAAAAAAUAGCAGACCCAAGUGCUUAAAAAGCCCUGGUCACUGAAUACAGACCUGGGCCUCUUCUUAGUGAGGAAGCUCCAAAGGUGGCCGUGUUUCAUGUCUAGAAAGGUGAAGGGUAUCGAGCAACGGUGAAGACGUGUUGUCCCCCACCUGUCCCUCGCCUGUCCCCCACCAGAACCCUCAAGACAGCCCCCAAACUAGCCACUGUCCUGCCUUGGACAAGACAAAGAAAGGCAUCUGCCAACUUGGACAAUUUGCAAAGACAAUUAAUUUUGGUAACAAGGCAAAAUGUGUCACUCGAGCAACAAAUGUUAAUUCUUCAGCGUAAUUGAAGAAGAGAUUGAGUUCAAGUCAAUUCACGUGAAAACAAAAUGCUAUAAAAGGAGGCCAAAUUAUAAAGUUAGAAGACAAGUGACAGGAAGUCUCUUCUUCCUACCCCAAAGCCUUAUUUGCAAUGACUUUCUUUAGCCUUCCUUGUUAGAUUAGUCAAAGCCCACUGUGAGAGUACGAAAGGCUUCAACCCAGCCAAUCUGGAAUAAUCACUGAGUUGACAGUCAUUACCUUAAUUUCCCAAGUUGAUCUUACAUUUGGCCCAGCCCUUGAGAUUCCCAAAGAGUAUGUUUAUUUUUGAAUUUGAAAGGUUCUUUACAUACUGGCUUCGGAAAAUGGUUAUCUUCAAUAGCGUUGGGGCAUUUACUUCUGGGAAUGCAAAAUUUGAAAUCUCACAGAGGAGGACUCGGGUGUCAGCUCUGUCAGGCAAGGACUAUCAAAUCUCAGAUAAUUUAUGUUUCAGCCACUUUGCCACUUUUAAUGUUGCCUACAUUAUUUUCCUUGCUAUCCCUACUCACUGCCAUUCCUACAGGCACGAUUUCUUCUCCCUCCAGCCAUACUGGGAUUUUACCCAACUUAACUCUUCUCCAUGCCCUCAUUUGGACUUCUUUUCAAGUUUCCCUUCUCUAAGCCUGCCCCAAAUGUUGCUAUAAAAUUAACCUUUCUUUUUACCCUUCUGACCUUCUAACCCCUUCAUUGGUUCCCUUCAGAGUUGAACCAGACAUACCCAACUUUCUCAUCUUCCCCUUUAAGGUCCUGCACUGGCCAACAAUGUCCCCUCAUCCUCUGGAGCCAGCAGAGGCCACAUACUUGACUCAAAUCUCUCUCUUUAAAUAUGACCUUGGCUUCCUCAGCACCUACCUCCUUGCUCUGCCAACGGAAUUACACCAUCAAUCUUUGUCAAAGAUCUUAGAAUACUGCACGCUUUCCACUGAACUGAUUCUCGUCAAGAACCGUUUUGAGGAAUUUGCUAACUUUUAAAGAGGUAGAUAAACCAGUGAAUCAGGUGUGUGUUAGCCAAGUCAGAUCCUGUGUCUGUGUGAGAGCAGAUCACCAUCUCCACCCCAGCUCUAGAUUUAAGGUGAGCACACAGGUGUUUGUUACGCAUGUAUUUUUUUCAUUUUAAGUUUACUUAUUUAUUUUCAGAGAGAGCACAAAUGUGGAAGGGACAGAGAGAGAGAGAGAGAGAGGGUGACAGAGAAUCCCAAGCAGGCUCCACACUGUCAGCACAGAGCCUAAUGCAGGGCUGGAUCCCACAAACCAUGAGAUCAUGACCUGAGCCGAAAUCAAGAGUCAGAUGCUCAACCCACUGAGCCACCUAGGUGCCCCCAUGUGUCUUCUUUAUCCCAGAUUUUCUGCUGUAUUUAUGUUAGAUCCUUCACAUGGGUAAUAGCCAAUGUAUUCCUAUGCGCUGUAGUGAUGCGGAGUUACAUACAAUCACUGUUAAAUAUGCUAUAAAAAACAUUUUCCUUCAUGGAUUUUUGUUGUACUUACAAGAUACAAGUAGAUUCGAUGCCUCGUGAGUUUUAUAUGUAAUCUCUCAGAGUGGGCCAAUCUAAAGAAUGUUUGGCUUCCUUCAUUCAGAAAACAUUAUAACCCUGUGCAGAAAUAUAUGUCAAACUGAAAAGCGAGCUGGAAAUUCAAACAAAAAGACACUUUCUGGGGAAGCAUCAGCAGCAGACACCCCUUUUCUAUCAAAUGAUGGAAGGUGGAGAUAAACGAAUCAUGUAUGCUGCUCUCCUCCCUGGACACCAAUCCAAUGGCCAGGUCAUUCUAGAUUUAGUUACAUUUCCCUUUCUUUUUUAAAAUUUUUUAAUGCUUAUUUAUUUCUGAGAGAGAGAGCAUGAGCCAGGGAGGGGCAGAAAGAGAGGGAGACACAGAAUCUGUAACAGGCUCUGAGCCAUCAGCACAGAGCCCGAUGCAGGGCUCGAACACACGAACCAUGAGAUCGUGACCUGAGCCGAAAUUGGACGCUUAACCAACUGAGACACCCAGGCACCCCCAUUUCUCUUUCAAAAAUGCCCAGUUUGGAUAAAUCCAUUUACCUUAAGCAUUUCUUCAUUGCACAUGUCACUUCUGAAAUUGAGAUUCUACAUGCAUGGAAUUCUUCCCUGCUUAUCCUAUUAGAAAGAAAAUUCCAUGGGCAAGAGACAAUGUACACUUUGCUCAGAUACAGUAACAGGUAUCUCAAAAUCAUAUCUGGAUUCCCUGCUCCUACCUGAAAGAAAGGAAUGAAGGAGGAAAAGAAGAAAGAGGAAGGAGGAGAGAAAGAAUCCCAUUCUUCUCUCUUUCUUCUUCAUCUACGUCAAUGGCACACGACCUACCAACGUGUUCAGAACCAAACUCUAAGAAAUCAACCUUGACUCCUCUCGUCCCGGCCAAAGUAAGCCCCGGAGACACAACCUCCACAAUACGCUCCAAAUCCAGCCAUCACCAGCUCCUGAACCCUCGGUCUUAGUCCAACCCACCAAAACAUCCGCCUGGACUUUGUGUCAGCAUGUGGACUGAGCUAACCUUUCUUCCCUCCUCCUCACUCCCCUGCAGUGCAUUUUACAUAAACCCACUGAGUGAUUUUUAGAAAGUCUAAGUUGUUGGGGUGCCCAGGCGGCUCAGUCCGUUAAGCCUCCGACUUCAGCUCCGGUCAUGAUCUCGCGGUCCAUGCGUUCCAACCCCACACCAGGCUCUGUGCUGACAGCUCAGAACCCGAAGCCUGCUUCGGAUUCUGGGUCUCCCUCUCUCUCUCUUCUUCCCUCCCACGCAUACUCUGUCUCUGAAAAAAUAAAUAAACACUAAAAAUUUUUAAAGUAAAGAAAGCCUAAGUUGGUAUCCCGUCGUACUCUACUUGAAACAUUCUAAAAGCUUACAAUUUUUACUAAGUUAUAAUUUUUUUUAUUUAUGUUUAUUUUGUCUCCCCUGGUGCAGUGGAAUUUCGUGAGGAGAGGGGUGCCGUGUUCAUGGCGCCAGGACUUGGCUCAACGUGGGCACCCAGCAAGUACUCACUCUAUGAGUGAGUGAGCGAGUGCAUGGAUGGACCCACAGAGCAAGUCCCCCCACGCUUCCACAUCCACAGCCCCACACGGGUGCAGAAACACCCCCGCUCGUGGGGCUUUGCUUUACCGCCACCAGGUAAGGCUGUGGAUCUGAAGUGUCUCUGUGUUGCACACCAUUUGCUCAGCUCUCCGCAUGACAAAAGACCCACAGACCCCGUGUAAUCCCUCACUCGGUCCCAUAAAUUUUGGAACACGUGAAACACGGUUUCUAGGCUUUUCGCAGAAAACAACAGGCGCCCCCUCCGUGGAGACAACUGGAAAGACGCCAGCUGACAGCUUCCGGGCAACGGUAUUCUGUCUGCUAACUCUUUUCUCAGGCGAGCACACAGGGCACACGCCUCUGAAAGGCCAGCCCUCCUCACAGGGACCCCGGUGAACCCAAAUCGUUUGAGGGACAGGGGACCGUCUCCCUCGAGCAGCCACAAAACGGCACCGGUGACCGGGACGAUAUAUUCCCCCCGGCUGUAGUUCUAGUUCCGUAUCCAGGCACCCUCCACCCUGUGGGCUUCUCAGAGCACAGCCCUGGACCCCCGAGGUGAGGCCGUCAAAACUGCCAGUGAGUCAGAAAGCAGUUCAGGAACUUUCCACGUCGAGCCACACGAGUGCCUGUUUCCAACUUAAAAUGGAGACGCUCACUCUCCAGCGCUGCCUCCUGCC